Molecule: ribosomal RNA, 382 nt
Filed under: uncultured Nitrosomonas sp.
Lineage: Bacteria; Pseudomonadati; Pseudomonadota; Betaproteobacteria; Nitrosomonadales; Nitrosomonadaceae
Description: bacterial SSU rRNA
Rfam family: Bacterial small subunit ribosomal RNA
Source: RNAcentral
CAGGGGAUCGCAAGACCUUGCGCUAAAGGAGCGGCCGAUGUCUGAUUAGUUAGUUGGUGGGGUAAAGGCCUACCAAGGCAACGAUCAGUAGCUGGUCUGAGAGGACGAUCAGCCACACUGGGACUGAGACACGGCCCAGACUCCUACGGGAGGCAGCAGUGGGGAAUUUUGGACAAUGGGCGAAAGCCUGAUCCAGCCAUGCCGCGUGAAUGAAGAAGGCCUUCGGGUUGUAAAGUUCUUUUAGUUGGAAAGAAAAAAUUAUGAUGAAUAAUCAUAAUUCAUGACGGUACCGACAGAAAAAGCACCGGCUAACUACGUGCCAGCAGCCGCGGUAAUACGUAGGGUGCAAGCGUUAAUCGGAAUUACUGGGCGUAAAGGGUGU